Molecule: ribosomal RNA, 253 nt
Filed under: uncultured bacterium
Lineage: Bacteria
Description: partial 16S ribosomal RNA
Rfam family: Bacterial small subunit ribosomal RNA
Source: RNAcentral
UACGAAGGGGGCUAGCGUUGUUCGGAAUUACUGGGCGUAAAGCGCACGUAGGCGGAUACUUAAGUUAGGGGUGAAAUCCCAGAGCUCAACUCUGGAACUGCCUUUAAUACUGGGUAUCUCGAGUCCGGAAGAGGUGAGUGGAAUUCCGAGUGUAGAGGUGAAAUUCGUAGAUAUUAGGAAGAACACCGGUGGCGAAGGCGGCCCACUGGCUCGACACUGACGCUGAGGUGCGAAAGCGUGGGGAGCAAACAGG